GAGUGAGGCUCGCAGCGAUAAAUAUUGCUAAUAUUUGUACCCCCGGUUGGACUCCCGGGCUCCCCCA
Molecule: transfer RNA, 67 nt
Filed under: Xenocephalus elongatus (bulldog stargazer)
Lineage: Eukaryota; Metazoa; Chordata; Actinopteri; Uranoscopiformes; Uranoscopidae
Description: tRNA-Ser
Source: RNAcentral